CUUAGAAGUUCCUGUAUAUGAUAGUCAGCCUCAUAACAAUAAAGAAACAAGUCGGCAAAAAAAGGGUCACAAUUGGUUCCCAUUGGAAUGCCGACAGUCUGUUGAAAAACACGUCCUCCAAACGUAACAAAUAUGUAGUCAAUCAAGAAAUCUAGUAUCUUGAUAAUGUCAGUUUCAGAGAAUUUUUUGUUUGAUUCUUUACCAAGUAGGAUUUAUCCCUCCCCAAGACAAGAUACUUGUCACCUACGUUCGCCAUCCUUUUUUUUAUGAAACAAAGUAAUACCAACUCUUUCAAUUUGCCUUUUAGUUUGGAAUGGAUAAUACUUGUGUGUAAAGUGUUGAAAAGUCAAACGUUUUAAUACCAUUACAAGAUGAGAGAGUCUUAGAUUGUAUGUCCUCUAAAAGAUCUUUUGAAUUUGUUAGUAUCUUCAUCUGAUUCAGGCCACCUCUAGUUUCAUGUUCUUUAUAAAAAGAGAACUUGUAUACAAGUUUGACACUGAUGUAUAAUCAUUAUCGUACUUACACCAAUCGAUUGUACUGGUCCAAGGGCACAGUUAUCGUCCUUUGGUUUUCGUUGUGUUACACUUUCCCAAUGUAUUUCUUGAUAUUUAAUGCAUGAAAUAUUAAGUAAGGGGAUGAAAUAACAUGUUUAAAAAAAUUGUUGAAUCAUUAUGUUAAGUAGUGAUUUGGUCCAGUUAAAAAAGGUAAAAUAUUAGUACGUCUGAAGCUGUCAAACUGAAUUUUAGACACCCUUAACACAGAAUUGUCAAUAUUUUGAGUUAGAGCUGGUAGAAGUGUCUAUAAUUUUGAAGUUAUUUGUCCCAAUAGUAGUACACUACACUGUAAAAAUCUUUUUGAGAUAGAGCAGGUGCGAUUUUUUAAAUUUGAAUUUUUUGUCUAAAAGAAAUGCACUACGAAAUAACUGUGUUCUCGGGCCUAAUGCUACAGACUUUGUUACAUUCUUGCGAUAGCAUAAUUUUUUUUAGAAUGAGAUUAAAAAUAUCACAUGUGCAAAUCGGCAUCUCUAAUUUUGAAAAUUAAUGGGCGUCGAAUUUAAACUGUCAUGUAAAUAUAUUUAAGUAAAAUGAUGUUUCUUUUUUUUU
RNAcentral lists this long non-coding RNA (1103 nucleotides) under Mytilus galloprovincialis (Mediterranean mussel). Lineage: Eukaryota; Metazoa; Mollusca; Bivalvia; Mytilida; Mytilidae. The record is from RNAcentral.